GUACGCUAUUCAGUAGUUUGUAUCCGUGGCUCAGAGUAAACGCUGGCGGUAGGCCUAACACAUGCAAGUCGAACGGCAGCACAGUAAGAGCUUGCUCUUAUGGGUGGCGAGUGGCGGACGGGUGAGGAAUACAUCGGAAUCUACCUUUUCGUGGGGGAUAACGUAGGGAAACUUACGCUAAUACCGCAUACGACCUUCGGGUGAAAGCAGGGGACCUUCGGGCCUUGCGCGGAUAGAUGAGCCGAUGUCGGAUUAGCUAGUUGGCGGGGUAAAGGCCCACCAAGGCGACGAUCCGUAGCUGGUCUGAGAGGAUGAUCAGCCACACUGGAACUGAGACACGGUCCAG
This 346-nucleotide ribosomal RNA is filed under the name uncultured bacterium. Its description in RNAcentral is "bacterial SSU rRNA". It matches the Rfam family "Bacterial small subunit ribosomal RNA", at positions 1 to 334 of the family's 1533-position model. The record is from RNAcentral.